This 592-nucleotide ribosomal RNA is filed under the name Carabus auronitens. RNAcentral describes it as "SSU rRNA". It matches the Rfam family "Eukaryotic small subunit ribosomal RNA", at positions 13 to 577 of the family's 1831-position model. The record is from RNAcentral. Lineage: Eukaryota; Metazoa; Arthropoda; Insecta; Coleoptera; Carabidae.
CCUGCCAGUAGUCAUAUGCUUGUCUCAAAGAUUAAGCCAUGCAUGUCUCAGUACAAGCCAAAUUAAGGUGAAACCGCGAAAGGCUCAUUAAAUCAGUUAUGGUUCCUUAGAUCGUACCCACAUUUACUUGGAUAACUGUGGUAAUUCUAGAGCUAAUACAUGCAAACAGAGCUCCAACCGGAGACGGAAGGAGUGCUUUUAUUAGAACAAAACCAAUCGGCGGCGUGUUCGUUCGCGUUCACGUUCGCCGCCCAACUUGGUGACUCUGAAUAACUUUACGCUGAUCGCACGGUCUUGCACCGGCGACGCAUCUUUCAAAUGUCUGCCUUAUCAACUGUCGAUGGUAGGUUCUGCGCCUACCAUGGUUGUAACGGGUAACGGGGAAUCAGGGUUCGAUUCCGGAGAGGGAGCCUGAGAAACGGCUACCACAUCCAAGGAAGGCAGCAGGCGCGCAAAUUACCCACUCCCGGCACGGGGAGGUAGUGACGAAAAAUAACGAUACGGGACUCAUCCGAGGCCCCGUAAUCGGAAWGAGUACACUUUAAAUCCUUUAACGAGGAUCAAUUGGAGGGCAAGUCUGGUGCCAGCAGCC